AUUUUCUAAGUAUGCACAGUACAGUUGACUUCCAAUCAACAAGCUCUGGCCACAGCCCAGAAGAAAAUA
Molecule: transfer RNA, 69 nt
Filed under: Manis javanica (Malayan pangolin)
Lineage: Eukaryota; Metazoa; Chordata; Mammalia; Pholidota; Manidae
Description: tRNA-Gly
Source: RNAcentral